AUCCUUUUGUAGUUCAUGAGCAUGAUGAUUGGGUGUUCACGUGCAUAUGUGAAC
This is a small nucleolar RNA of Pan troglodytes (chimpanzee), 54 nucleotides long. It matches the Rfam family "Small nucleolar RNA U13". NCBI's taxonomy places the organism in Eukaryota, Metazoa, Chordata, Mammalia, Primates, Hominidae. The record is from Rfam.